This 528-nucleotide unclassified non-coding RNA is filed under the name Hevea brasiliensis (rubber tree). Lineage: Eukaryota; Viridiplantae; Streptophyta; Magnoliopsida; Malpighiales; Euphorbiaceae. The record is from RNAcentral.
UGAAAUUCGUAUGCAUAAACCCUAAUUAUUCGGCUAAAAAACUUAAUUAAAUCCUAAUACAUGCAUAGAGAGAAAGAGAGAGAGAUAGAGCUGUCAUUUGUAAUAAAUAUAUUUGAAUUGACAUCCCAGACGCCUCCCUCCCUAAGAUAUUCUAAAUACCUUGUAAAUUCCGGCUUAGCCGUAGUUUUCCUCUUCCGGCGAGCAUCAAACAGACUAAGGAGUGGAUGACUCUUGUUAGCCUUAUUUCUUGCUGAUGACUUCACUGGAUGCUGAUGAGAUUGAGAAUCAUUUGGAAAGCCAGAUUCUGAUGAAAAUUUGGCUGUCGAGGAGCGAAGUGCUGGAGAUGCAGGUAAGGUUUUAGACCUCUUCAAGGUUCCCAGCUCAUCGGAAGCAGCAAUGGCAGACUCGUCAGCGACUAACCUUUCGUAGCCGCCGCGACGGCUUCUCCUUGUGCUGAAUGCUCUCAACAUGGUUUUGAUGGUGAGAAAUUUUGCCGGAAAUUACUUUACAUAUAUGAAAGAAAGAAAG